UACGUAGGGUGCAAGCGUUAAUCGGAAUUACUGGGCGUAAAGCGUGCGCAGGCGGCUUUGUAAGUCUGCUGUUAAAUAGUGAGGCUCAACCUCAUAAAGGCAGUGGAAACUACACGGCUAGAGUGCGUUCGGGGCAGAGGGAAUUCCUGGUGUAGCGGUGAAAUGCGUAGAGAUCAGGAAGAACACCGGUGGCGAAAGCGCUCUGCUAGGCCGCAACUGACACUGAGGGACGAAAGCUAGGGGAGCGAGUGGG
RNAcentral lists this ribosomal RNA (253 nucleotides) under uncultured bacterium. Its description in RNAcentral is "partial 16S ribosomal RNA". It matches the Rfam family "Bacterial small subunit ribosomal RNA", at positions 524 to 776 of the family's 1533-position model. The record is from RNAcentral.